Non-coding RNA from Salmo salar (Atlantic salmon), 1467 nucleotides. The record is from RefSeq and is a predicted model, not a curated record. NCBI's taxonomy places the organism in Eukaryota, Metazoa, Chordata, Actinopteri, Salmoniformes, Salmonidae.
GGUUAGAGUCUGGGUGAAGUUUCAGUGAGGUGGUAGAGUCUGGGUGAGGUUUCAGUGAGGUGGUUAGAGUCUGGGUGAGGUUUCAGUGAGGUGGUUAGAGUCUGGGUGAGGUUUCAGUGAGGUGGUUAGAGUCUGGGUGAGGUUUCAGUGAGGUGGUUAGAGUCUGGGUGAGGUUUCAGUGAGGUGGUUAGAGUCUGGGUGAGGUGAGGUUACAGUGAGGUGGUUAGAGUCUGGGUGAGGUUUCAGUGAGGUGGUUAGAGUCUGGGUGAGGUUUCAGUGAGGUGGUAGAGUCUGGGUGAGGUUUCAGUGAGGUGGUUAGAGUCUGGGUGAGGUUUCAGUGAGGUGGUUAGAGUCUGGGUGAGGUUUCAGUGAGGUGGUUAGAGUCUGGGUGAGGUUUCAGUGAGGUGGUUAGUUUGGGUGAGGUGAGGUUACAGUGAGAUGGUUAGAGUCUGGAUGAGGUUUCAGUGAGGUGGUUAGAGUCUGGGUGAGGUUUCAGUGAGGUGGUUAGUUUGGGUGAGGUGAGGUUACAGUGAGGUGGUUAGAGUCUGGGUGAGGUUUCAGUGAGGUGGUUAGAGUCUGGGUGAGGUUUCAGUGAGGUGGUUAGAGUCUGGGUGAGGUUACAGUGAGGUGGUUAGAGUCUGGGUGAGGUUUCAGUGAGGUGGUUAGAGUCUGGGUGAGGUUACAGUGAGGUGGUUAGAGUCUGGGUGAGGUUUCAGUGAGGUGGUUAGAGUCUGGGUGAGGUUUCAGUGAGGUGGUUAGAGUCUGGGUGAGGUUUCAGUGAGGUGGUUAGAGUCUGGGUGAGGUGAGGUUACAGUGAGGUGGUUAGAGUCUGGGUGAGGUUUCAGUGAGGUGGUUAGAGUCUGGGUGAGGUUUCAGUGAGGUGGUUAGAGUCUGGGUGAGGUUUCAGUGAGGUGGUUAGAGUCUGGGUGAGGUUACAGUGAGGUGGUAGAGUCUGGGUGAGGUUUCAGUGAGGUGGUUAGAGUCUGGGUGAGGUUACAGUGAGGUGGUUAGAGUCUGGGUGAGGUUUCAGUGAGGUGGUUGGAGUCUGGGUGAGGUUUCAGUGAGGUGGUUAGAGUCUGGGUGAGGUUUCAGUGAGGUGGUUAGAGUCUGGGUGAGGUUUCAGUGAGGUGGUUAGAGUCUGGGUGAGGUUUCAGUGAGGUGGUUAGAGUCUGGGUGAGGUUUCAGGGAGCCUCAGGGCUCAGCUUGGUGUUGGUUAUGAGGAAUCCUUGUGGUUUUGUCAGCCUGCUGUGAGUUAUAGGAGAGCACUGUGGUUUAUAACGAGGGUUAUAGUUCGGUUAGACAGAGAGGCUGCGUCCCAAAUGGCACCCUAUUCCCUAUAUAGUGCACUACUUUCAACAAGAGUCAUAUUCCCUUUAGAAUGCACUACUUUCAACCAGAGCCCAUGCCAUUUGGGCCAUAGCCAGAGUGGACUGGGCCCGGGCCAGAGCUGGGGUUUGACCGGACUAC